This 252-nucleotide ribosomal RNA is filed under the name uncultured bacterium. RNAcentral's name for it is "partial 16S ribosomal RNA". It matches the Rfam family "Bacterial small subunit ribosomal RNA", at positions 524 to 776 of the family's 1533-position model. The record is from RNAcentral.
UACGUAGGUCCCGAGCGUUGUCCGGAUUUAUUGGGCAUAAAGCGAGCGCAGGUGGUUUAUUAAGUCUGGUGUAAAAGGCAGUGGCUCAACCAUUGUAUGCAUUGGAAACUGGUGGACUUGAGUGCAGGAGAGGAGAGUGGAAUUCCAUGUGUAGCGGUGAAAUGCGUAGAUAUAUGGAGGAACACCGGUGGCGAAAGCGGCUCUCUGGCCUGUAACUGACACUGAGGCUCGAAAGCGUGGGGAGCAAACAGG